UCAAGCGUUUAAGGGCGUGUGGCGGAUGCCUUGGCACUGAAAGCCGAUGAAGGACGUGAUAUACUGCGAUAAGUUUCGGGGAGCUGUAUGUAAGUUUUGAUCCGAAAAUUUCCGAAUGGGGAAACCCACCACUUUAUGUGGUACUUUAAACUGAAUUCAUAGGUUUAAAGAGCAAACCCGGAGAACUGAAACAUCUAAGUAACCGGAGGAAAAGAAAUCAAUUGAGAUUCCGUUAGUAGUGGCGAGCGAACGCGGAACAGGCCAGUAACAAUUUUAAAAUAAUUUGAAUAGUCUGGAAAGACUAGCCAAAGAUGGUGAUAGCCCAGUAGAAGUAAUGUUUAAAAUUGUUCUUGAGUAGAGCGGGACACGUGUAAUCUUGUUUGAAUAUAGGGGGACCACCCUCUAAGCCUAAAUACUCUUCAGUGACCGAUAGUGAACUAGUACCGUGAGGGAAAGGUGAAAAGAACCCCUAUUAGGGGAGUGAAAUAGAACCUGAAACCGUAUGCCUACAAACAGUCGAAGCUCUUUUUAGAGUGACGGCGUACCUUUUGUAUAAUGGGUCAGUGACUUAAUUUAUAAAGCAAGCUUAAGCCAUCUAGGUGUAGGCGUAGCGAAAGCAAGUCUUAAUAGGGCGAUUAGUUUUAUGAAUUAGACCCGAAAACGAAUGAGCUUACCAUGAGCAGGUUGAAAGUUGGGUAACACCAACCGGAGGACCGAACCAGUUGACGUUGAAAAGUCUUUGGAUGACUUGUGGUAAGGGGUGAAAGGCCAACCAAAUUCGUAGAUAGCUGGUUUUCCGCGAAAACUAUUUAGGUAGUGCGUUGAAUAAAUUUAUGUUUGGAGGUAGAGCACUAAACGGGCUAGGGGGGAGAAAUCUUUACCAAACCUGAUAAAACUCCGAAUGCCAGACAUAUUACUUCAACAGACAGACUGUGGGUGCUAAGGUCCAUGGUCGAGAGGGAAAGAGCCCAGACCACCAGAUAAGGUCCCAAAAUUAUGAUUAAGUGUGAAAGGAUGUGGAAAUUCCUUAACAGCCGGGAGGUUGGCUUAGAAGCAGCCAUCCUUUAAAGAUAGCGUAACAGCUCACCGGUCUAAUUAAGAGACUUUGCGCCUAAGAUGUAACGGGGCUAAAACCAUACACCGAAGUUGUGGAUUUAAAAAAGUCUUCGGACUUUUUUAUCUGGUAGCGGAACGUUCUGUAAGCCUGCGAAGAGAGACCCGCGAGGGCUCUUGGAGGUAUCAGAAGUGCGAAUGCUGACAUAAGUAACGACAAACAGAGUGAAAGACUCUGUCGCCGAGAGUUCAAGGGUUCCUGCGUAAAGUUAAUCUUCGCAGGGUUAGCCGGCCCCUAAGACGAGGACGAAAGUCGUAGUCGAUGGGAAUCAGGUAAAUAUUCCUGAGCCUGGUGGUAGUGACGGAUCAUGUAAAUUGUUAACUCUUAUUGGAUUGAGUUGGCUGUGAAAUGGUCCCAGGAAAUAGCUCCACCAUAAGACCGUACCCCAAACGGACACACGUGUACCGGUAGAGUAUACCUAGGCGCUUGAGAGAAUGAUGUUGAAGGAACUCGGCAAAAUGCUUCCGUAACUUCGGGAUAAGGAAGACCCUCCUGUAGGCAACUAUGGAAGGGUGGCACAAGCCAGGGAGAAGCGACUGUUUAUCAAAAACACAGGGCUCUGCUAACACGUAAGUGGAUGUAUAGGGUCUGACGCCUGCCCGGUGCUGGAAGGUUAAUGCGGUUGGUGCAAGCUAACUUCUGAAGCCCCAGUAAACGGCGGCCGUAACUAUAACGGUCCUAAGGUAGCGAAAUUCCUUGUCGGGU
This 1819-nucleotide ribosomal RNA is filed under the name marine metagenome. RNAcentral describes it as "bacterial LSU rRNA". It matches the Rfam family "Bacterial large subunit ribosomal RNA", at positions 1 to 1977 of the family's 2925-position model. The record is from RNAcentral.